GUGAGGGAGGGGGUUACUAGUGACAGAGGGAGGGGUGACUAGGGACAGAGUGAGGGAGGUGGUGACUAGGGACAGAGUGAGGGAGGUGGUGACUAGUGACAGUCACCACCUCCCUCACUCUGUCACUAGUCACCACCUCCCUCACUCUGUCACCAGUCAUCCCCUCACUCUGUCACUAGUCACGCCUUCCUUCCCUCAC
This is a non-coding RNA of Pelobates cultripes (western spadefoot toad), 199 nucleotides long. The record is from the annotation of a GenBank genome assembly. Lineage: Eukaryota; Metazoa; Chordata; Amphibia; Anura; Pelobatidae.